This 497-nucleotide ribosomal RNA is filed under the name uncultured bacterium. Its description in RNAcentral is "partial 16S ribosomal RNA". It matches the Rfam family "Bacterial small subunit ribosomal RNA", at positions 28 to 507 of the family's 1533-position model. The record is from RNAcentral.
GAUGAACGCUGGCGGCGUGCCUAAUACAUGCAAGUCGAGCGAACAGACGAGGAGCUUGCUCCUCUGACGUUAGCGGCGGACGGGUGAGUAACACGUGGAUAACCUACCUAUAAGACUGGGAUAACUUCGGGAAACCGGAGCUAAUACCGGAUAAUAUAUUGAACCGCAUGGUUCAAUAGUGAAAGACGGUUUUGCUGUCACUUAUAGAUGGAUCCGCGCCGCAUUUGCUAGUUGGUAAGGUAACGGCUUACCAAGGCAACGAUGCGUAGCCGACCUGAGAGAGUGAUCGGCCACACUGGAACUGAGACACGGACCAGACUCCUACGGGAGGCAGCAGUAGGGAAUGGUCCGCAAUAGGCGAAAGCUUGACGGAGCAACGCCGCGUGAGUGAUGAAGGUCUUCGGAUCGUAAAACUCUGUUAUUAGGGAAAAACAAAUGUGUAAGUAAAUAUGCACGUCUUGACGGUACCUAAUCAGAAAGCCACGGCUAACUACGUG